GUUGCCUACGGGACGCAGCAGUGGGGGAUAUUGCACAAUGGGGGAAACCUUGAUGCAGCGACGCCGCGUGGGUGAAGAAGCGCCUCGGCGCAUAAAGCCCUGUCAGCAGGGAAGAAAAUGACGGUACCUGAAGAAGAAGCCCCGGCUAACUACGUGCCAGCAGCCGCGGUAAUACGUAGGGGGCAAGCGUUAUCCGGAUUUACUGGGUGUAAAGGGGGCGCAGACGGCGAUGCAAGCCAGGAGUGAAAGCCCGGGGCCCAACCCCGGGACUGCUCUUGGAACUGCGUGGCUAGAGUGCAGGAGGG
Molecule: ribosomal RNA, 305 nt
Filed under: uncultured bacterium
Lineage: Bacteria
Description: bacterial SSU rRNA
Rfam family: Bacterial small subunit ribosomal RNA
Source: RNAcentral